UAUAAAACUUGAAACAACAGAAAAUAUCCUUGGAAAUGCCAACCAUAGGUAAACCAGGAAUAUAACCAUAGGUGAAUUAGGAAUACUGAUCCCAAGUGAGCUAGGAGUAUUGAACAUAGGUGAGCUAGGAGUGCUGAGCACAGGUGAGCAAGGAGUGCUGAGCACAGGUGAACUAGGAGUGCUGAGCACAGGUGAACUAGGAAUACUGAGCACAGGUGAGCUAGGAGUACUGAGCAGGGC
Pipistrellus kuhlii (Kuhl's pipistrelle) is the source of this 240-nucleotide long non-coding RNA. RefSeq lists it as uncharacterized. The transcript is spliced from 3 exons. Lineage: Eukaryota; Metazoa; Chordata; Mammalia; Chiroptera; Vespertilionidae. The record is from RefSeq and is a predicted model, not a curated record.